Molecule: small nucleolar RNA, 131 nt
Organism: Suncus etruscus (white-toothed pygmy shrew)
Lineage: Eukaryota; Metazoa; Chordata; Mammalia; Eulipotyphla; Soricidae
Product: small nucleolar RNA SNORA51
Exons: 1
Source: RefSeq, a predicted model, not a curated record
CAAUUCCUAUGUCUUGAGAAUAAAAGUCUUACCCAAACACACACACAAAAGAGGAGGUAUACUAAAUUCACCCCAUAUAUACCUCAACCCAGACCCUUUGCCUGGUCUGAAUUGUGAAUUGGGGGACAAAA